RNAcentral lists this ribosomal RNA (253 nucleotides) under uncultured bacterium. Its description in RNAcentral is "partial 16S ribosomal RNA". It matches the Rfam family "Bacterial small subunit ribosomal RNA", at positions 1250 to 1500 of the family's 1533-position model. The record is from RNAcentral.
CCAAGUCGUGAGGCGGAGCUAAUCCCUUAAAGCCAUUCUCAGUUCGGAUUGUAGGCUGAAACUCGCCUACAUGAAGCUGGAGUUACUAGUAAUCGCAGAUCAGAAUGCUGCGGUGAAUGCGUUCCCGGGUCUUGUACACACCGCCCGUCACACCACGGAAGUUGGGGGCGCCCGAAGCCACUUAGCUAACCCUUUUGGGAAGCGAGUGUCGAAGGUGAAAUCAAUAACUGGGGUGAAGUCGUAACAAGGUAGC